Molecule: non-coding RNA, 118 nt
Filed under: Peromyscus maniculatus bairdii (prairie deer mouse)
Lineage: Eukaryota; Metazoa; Chordata; Mammalia; Rodentia; Cricetidae
Source: RNAcentral
GGCGGGUCUGAAGGAAGUGAGUUAUCACAAUUGACUGGUCACAAUCAGUUACAGAUUGAACUCCUGUUCUAUACUCACCCCCCCUCCCCUUCUCAGUACUGCACUUAACUAGUUGUUA